This 204-nucleotide non-coding RNA is filed under the name Clostridia bacterium. RNAcentral describes it as "6S RNA". It matches the Rfam family "6S / SsrS RNA". Rfam says of the family: E. coli 6S RNA was the first non coding RNA to be sequenced, but its function was unknown until recently. Lineage: Bacteria; Bacillati; Bacillota; Clostridia. The record is from RNAcentral.
UGUUUCCUGCGGCGUGCGAAUACGGACGUAAUUCUUUCCACAAUAUUAAAUAAGGGAGCGUGCCGUCCGAUAAAAAAGGCGUAUCUUGCGGUCGUUGUAUUUUGCAGACCAAAUUAAGCAAGAAGUUCUUAGUUUAUAGGCGACGCACCCACCUGCAAUCAAGCGGGUUGAAAUUUGUCUUAAAACGGCGCAAGCGGGAAACGA